This 85-nucleotide transfer RNA is filed under the name Deltaproteobacteria bacterium. RNAcentral's name for it is "tRNA-Leu". It matches the Rfam family "tRNA". From Rfam's summary of the family: Transfer RNA (tRNA) molecules are approximately 80 nucleotides in length. Their secondary structure includes four short double-helical elements and three loops (D, anti-codon, and T loops). The record is from RNAcentral. Lineage: Bacteria; Pseudomonadati; Myxococcota; Myxococcia.
GCCGGGGUGGUGGAACUGGCAGACACAAGGGACUUAAAAUCCCUUGGAGCUUGGCUCCGUGCGGGUUCGAGCCCCGCCCCCGGCA